CGUGAAACUGCGAAUGGCUCAUUAAAUCAGUUAUCGUUUAUUUGAUAGUACCUUACUACUUGGAUAACCGUGGUAAUUCUAGAGCUAAUACAUGCUGAAAACCCCAACUUCGGGAGGGGUGUAUUUAUUAGAUAAAAAACCAACGCCCUUCGGGGCUUCUUGGUGAUUCAUGAUAACUUAACGGAUCGCAUGGCCUUGCGCCGGCGACGGUUCAUUCAAAUUUCUGCCCUAUCAACUUUCGAUGGUAAGGUAUUGGCUUACCAUGGUUUCAACGGGUAACGGGGAAUUAGGGUUCGAUUCCGGAGAGGGAGCCUGAGAAACGGCUACCACAUCCAAGGAAGGCAGCAGGCGCGCAAAUUACCCAAUCCCGACACGGGGAGGUAGUGACAAUAAAUACUGAUACAGGGCUCUUUUGGGUCUUGUAAUUGGAAUGAGUACAAUUUAAACCUCUUAACGAGGAACAAUUGGAGGGCAAGUCUGGUGCCAGCAGCCGCGGUAAUUCCAGCUCCAAUAGCGUAUAUUAAAGUUGUUGCAGUUAAAAAGCUCGUAGUUGAACCUUGGGUCUGGCUGGCAGGUCCGCCUCACCGCGUGUACUUGUCCGGCCGGGCCUUCCUUCUGGAGAACCUCAUGCCCUUCACUGGGCGUGUUGGGGACCAGGACUUUUACUUUGAAAAAAUUAGAGUGUUCAAAGCAGGCCUUUGCUCGAAUACGUUAGCAUGGAAUAAUGAAAUAGGACGUGCGGUCCUAUUUUGUUGGUUUCUAGGACCGCCGUAAUGAUUAAUAGGGACAGUCGGGGGCAUCAGUAUUCAAUUGUCAGAGGUGAAAUUCUUGGAUUUAUUGAAGACUAACUACUGCGAAAGCAUUUGCCAAGGAUGUUUUCAUUAAUCAGUGAACGAAAGUUAGGGGAUCGAAGACGAUCAGAUACCGUCGUAGUCUUAACCGUAAACUAUGCCGACUAGGGAUCGGGCGAUGUUCUUUUUCUGACUCGCUCGGCACCUUACGAGAAAUCAAAGUUUU
Molecule: ribosomal RNA, 1017 nt
Filed under: Leptosphaeria derasa
Lineage: Eukaryota; Fungi; Ascomycota; Dothideomycetes; Pleosporales; Leptosphaeriaceae
Description: SSU rRNA
Rfam family: Eukaryotic small subunit ribosomal RNA
Source: RNAcentral